GGGACAUGUCGGUCGUUAGCGAUUCUUUCCUAGAAACCAGGCAUUAAUAUCCGCGAAGACGCUGCUAGAGUUUACGAUCGUAGCCGGCACGCGAAUGGCUUUAUUUUCGUUAGAAACACUGAUCGACGGUUGUAUUCUGUUACGUUGCGUACGCCCACGCGAUCACGUAGUUAACACGGCGAUACACAUACAAUGCAGCUGAACGUGUAUUGGCCCUGCAUUAGCAUACACCAAGGAGUGUACAGGAAAUACCGAGGCUUCAUACAGUAUUUUUCUGCAGCUCUCGUAGAAGCAACUCUGUCGACCGCACAGAAAUUUAAUGCAACUGACCGAGCAAGCGCUGGAUCGGAAAUGGCGAACGUGGCUCCCUGUGGAUUUGCCGCGUGUUUACAGAGCUACCGCACAUUUAAUGGUCCUGACGACAAUUUUUCAAUCAUCCAAGAACAGCUUCCGAUAUGGGUUUUAUGUGGAUGAUUAAUGUCAAAGAUAUUAUCAGCAGAUCUUACGAUUCAUCGGCGAUGAUGACGGAUAUUGCAAGUUGCUCGAAGCAUGAUAAGCGAAGAGAAGAUAUUUCGAUCGCCAUUUUUUAUUUAACGCAGUAAGUUGAAGGAACAUGAAUGCCUCGUGUCAAAAGGUGAAGGCGAACGAAAUGGAUUUUCCGUUUUUAUGACGUUGUGAGAAAACGAUCUUUCAGUUGACUUUCAGUACCGAAGUCAAUUGACCUUACUUCACUACCUAUCACUUUACUUGUUCGAGGGUCGAAAAAUCGCGAUUAGAAAAACAAUUGCCUAUUUAUGUUUGAUAUUUAUUCAAUGCCUUCGUUGGAAAAUCGAGUCUCAUCUAAGGAUAGACAUCUGGAUAGACAACAUUAAUUGACGAUUAUAAUACUCGAGCGAAGUAUUAAAUGCUCUUUUCAAGUUAAUAGAAUUAUAAUUAUUUUCUCUUAAAAAAAGGUGUGUAAUAAAAUGAAGGACAAAUAAAAAAAAAAGAAAGAUGUAUUUCGUUCGAAAGUAGCUGCACCAAGAAUGUGAGUUGGAAUGAUUUACGAUUCUUUGCAAGUCAUAAAAACAUCAGCUAUAAGGGAUGGAAAGUUUUUGCGAAGAUUUGAAAGAAAAUUUACGAUGUGCUCUCAGGUUUCGAUAUAGUGGAACAGUACCUUUAAUUACGAGAUUGAAUGAAGUUACUUUUGAUCUUAGAAUUUUAUAGAUCGUAGAAUCUAUAAAUGAUCUGUCUAUUAAAUUAUCGAAAAAACUAUAUAAUUUUCGAUUAAUUGAGGAGUAUUCCUUUGGGAAAGAAAUGGUCGAUCACAGCAUGCAAUUUGUAACUGAUUCAGAGAAGAGACUCGAUAUUGAUGAACAAAUUAUGAUUAACGUCGUAAAAAAAGAGAUAGUUAAAAGUUUAAAAAAUGAACAAUGGAAAGUACUCACCUUCUUACGAUGCGGACAGCAAGAAGAUCCAUUGCCCAUGGUUCGAUCUUUCGAAACAGCGAAAGAAUCAAUCCUCACACUAAUUCAUAACACUUUAACACAACGCUUCCAAAUUUUCUUCGCACAAUUAUUUCUUUUUUUCUUCAUCGCAGUUUCGAGAAAGUUGCAGAUUUAUUAUCGCGUUGGUAUUCGAGCCAACCAUUCCAUGAAUAGUCCAAUCGCUUUUGUUAACUAUCUCCUGAAUCUCGACAAGAUCACGUUCUCGUUCCUUUAAAUUUUCCUCAUUUUCUCAUCAUAUUGAUAUCCAGAUCAACAGAAUCAAUGUGAAAGGUCUUGAUCUCGUAGACGAAGUAAAGAAACGAGCGGAGAAAAGACUAGUGGGAGUUGGAGUUGGUUAAAGUCUUUGAAUAUUUGAUGUGGAAUGGAAAUAAUUUUUGUACCUGUAUAUGUAUUAAAUUAUUUUGAAUAUCAUCUUGAAAAUUCAAUUGCAAAGAAUCAUUCAGAGUUCUCUGAAGUCCAAGUAACAGGUAUUAAGUAUGUCGAGGAUUACGUAUAUGGAAAUUUAUCUUAAACUAUUAGUUUAAAGAUCUUGUUAAGUUGAGUUUACUCUCUUCUUCUCUUAAUCAUUUUCAAUCAACAAGAUCAGACAAUGUACAAAUUCGAAGAUUGAAAAGAAACUAUGUUGAUGUUCAAUUUGUAAUAUCAACUACAAAGAGAAAAAGAUCAAAAGACUACCCACGUGUAAUCUAAGAUCCUCUUCCCUUUAUCAUUAAUCAGCAUUUUCAUUAGAACUUAUUAUUUCGGCUAUGAUCCGUAAUUCCUUAACAGUGUAACUUAUGGCAUCCGACAGACUGAUUAGAAUCUCCCUGGCUGUAAUUUCUCCAUAAAAUGACUGCCAUUUAUCUCAACUGCCAAUAACGAUUACUCGCCACUUGCAAAAUCUUCGAUUGCUUGCUUUCGAGAUGUUCUUCAUCAAGAAAAAAUUCUUGGAUGACUGGUGCAAGGUCCAAGGAAAAUGAACUUUGAUUUCGAUAUAAGUCUUAAACUUGAUGAUUCAUGGAUUUUUUAUUUUUGAUUUUUUUUUCUAAUAAAUAUUCUUUUAAUGAAUUUUUUUUAUUACAUAUAUAUAAAUAUAUAUGUUUUAAUAGAAAAAUGAGAAUGGGAUAAAUUAUAGCCAGUAAUGAAUAAGUCUCAUGAAUUAAUACAUAUAAAAAUUUAUAUGUAUGA
Molecule: long non-coding RNA, 2654 nt
Organism: Apis laboriosa (Himalayan honeybee)
Lineage: Eukaryota; Metazoa; Arthropoda; Insecta; Hymenoptera; Apidae
Exons: 9
Source: RefSeq, a predicted model, not a curated record